This 229-nucleotide long non-coding RNA is filed under the name Elaeis guineensis (African oil palm). Its description in RNAcentral is "long non-coding RNA (EGUI_LNC006600)". The record is from RNAcentral. Lineage: Eukaryota; Viridiplantae; Streptophyta; Magnoliopsida; Arecales; Arecaceae.
AAUCAGUUGACCGAUCGAUAAUCGGCUAUUCUCAGCUAUCAACGGAUAACUACGAUAACUCGGUUAAUCUCCGACUGAUGCUUAUUUAGAUCUUCACGACUAUCGACAUACUAUUAUUAUCGACAUAUAGUCGGCUUAUCUGAAACUGCUAACGCAGAAAGUGCAUAAUGGUAAGAAUAUGAUCAGUGGCGGAUAUAACCACUCAUCCCAUGAUCACAUAAUGUCGGAA